UUCGUUUUUUCGCUUUGUGCGGCCGCGGGUGGCACCGCUGGGUGGCGCCCCUCCUCUGCUGGCGCCCCUGGCGAGUGCCAUCCUGGCCAAAGCAUAGAUACGCCCCUGCUCAUAUGCACAGGAUUCUCACCCUGGAAAUGCUGAACAAAUGCCGACCUGAAGAACCACUAUUUGCAGACCAGGUUCCAUGAAGGAGAGAGAUGGAGCAUGCAUGAUGGCAGCUCAUGCGCAGAUAUACUGUUUUGACUAUCAGUUUGUAUUAUGAUCCAUUCCAGUUUCAAUAUAUAAACAAGUUAUGCCACAAAGAGGUGAUCCUGACUGCGAUGGUUAACAGAACAAAGAGGAAUUGGGCAUAUCAGCUGCUCAUCCAGUACAGUAGAGGUAGAAACUCUAUUGCCGAUGUGCCUUGGGUGAAGAAGAAAAUAGCAAAUUCCCAAACAGUCUUUGUAAAGGAACACAAGAAGGUGCAGGAAUCAUAGCGAUCUGGAGUCGGGACAGAUGAGAUCUAUAAGCCAACUCUGUGCUACUAUGACCAAUUAAAGUUCAUUUUGGAGCAAGACCCGUGGGUAACGCCAUGGGAAAGUCUGAAUCCAGAGUCUCCAGUUGUUGUGGAAGAGGAGGCCCAGGAGAGUCUGGAUCUGGACCUUACCCCGGAGCUGGAGGAGGAGCCUUCUACAGGCCAAGGGGCAGAAGUGGUUGAGCCAGUGAUGGUACCGGUGGUGAAGGCAACUCCACAGCCACGCCCUGAAAGACCCUGGUGGAUGGCGAGGAAGGCCAUUUCUGCCCCGUCUUGCUCCCAGCAGUUUUACCAACGAGCCAUGGCGCUACGGAUGGCUGCCUCGGUGCUGCUCUGCCAAGCAGCCUUCGUUUUUAGUCUUACAUGUAUAAUAUGUAUAAUAUGUUGAGUCUAUUGUACAGUUGCAAUGUGCAGUAGGAACUCAUAUGUGUAAUGUUUGUAAUGUAUGCUAUGUUUUUCCCCCUUCUUAUGCUAUGUAUUCCCCCUUCAUGUUGCUGCUUGGCGAUGCAUUGUACCACAAACAAUUCCUAGUGUACGUGAGUACACCUGGCCAAUAAAGCUGAUUCUGAUUCAGUGCCUAUUUUUCAACUGGUUGAAAAAUCUGGCGCUGGCGUAAAUCGCAAUUUGCCAAUCCACCGCCUAGAUGUAAUAGGGUACGAUUUUUUAAGUGUCUUUAAAAAAUGCAGCAAACCACAUGUUUGUAACUUGAUAAAAAAUUGCAAAUGUAAUAGGGAGCAAUUUUUAAGGAUAAAACGGAUUUUGCAUGCGAUUAUUGGGGAUUUUUAGUAAAGGAAACUUGCAAAUUUUAGUAAUAAAAACAU
Long non-coding RNA from Pseudophryne corroboree (corroboree frog), 1338 nucleotides. RefSeq lists it as uncharacterized. The record is from RefSeq and is a predicted model, not a curated record. The transcript has 4 exons. NCBI's taxonomy places the organism in Eukaryota, Metazoa, Chordata, Amphibia, Anura, Myobatrachidae.